GACGAACGCUGGCGGCGUGCCUAAUACAUGCAAGUAGAACGCUGAAGGAGGAGCUUGCUUCUCUGGAUGAGUUGCGAACGGGUGAGUAACGCGUAGGUAACCUGCCUGGUAGCGGGGGAUAACUAUUGGAAACGAUAGCUAAUACCGCAUAAGAGUAGAUGUUGCAUGACAUUUGCUUAAAAGGUGCAAUUGCAUCACUACCAGAUGGACCUGCGUUGUAUUAGCUAGUUGGUGGGGUAACGGCUCACCAAGGCGACGAUACAUAGCCGACCUGAGAGGGUGAUCGGCCACACUGGGACUGAGACACGGCCCAGACUCCUACGGGAGGCAGCAGUAGGGAAUCUUCGGCAAUGGACGGAAGUCUGACCGAGCAACGCCGCGUGAGCGAAGAAGGUUUUCGGAUCGUAAAGCUCUGUUGUAAGAGAAGAACGAGUGUGAGAGUGGAAAGUUCACACUGUGACGGUAUCUUACCAGAAAGGGACGGCUAACUACGUG
RNAcentral lists this ribosomal RNA (495 nucleotides) under uncultured bacterium. Its description in RNAcentral is "partial 16S ribosomal RNA". It matches the Rfam family "Bacterial small subunit ribosomal RNA", at positions 28 to 507 of the family's 1533-position model. The record is from RNAcentral.